RNAcentral lists this unclassified non-coding RNA (1860 nucleotides) under uncultured fungus. RNAcentral describes it as "sequence contains 18S rRNA gene, ITS1, 5.8S rRNA gene, ITS2, 28S rRNA gene". The stretch from base 817 to 1860 matches the Rfam family "Eukaryotic large subunit ribosomal RNA", at positions 1 to 961 of the family's 3401-position model. Lineage: Eukaryota; Fungi. The record is from RNAcentral.
GGAAGGAUCAUCAACAAAUCCCUCUAAAUACUCAAAACACACCUUUGUGCUCAAAACCCCCUAUAAAUCUAUGCUCUUCUCCGGUCACUUGCUGAUCAAGUGUAUGGUUUGAAUGAGAUCGUCAUUGGUUGUACGAUCCUUCCAUGCAUGAGUUGAGUGUAGGUUUUUUUUUCCCUUACAACCAAAAAAACAACAACAUAAACUCCAAAAAAACACAAUCUUUAUCUAUCUGUUUCUGUUUUUUGUUUUUUUUUCUUUUCAUCUUGUAUGCACACUCGUGUGUAUAUAAUGUGAAAAAAAAGGAAAUAAAAAUAUAAAAAAACUUGAAAACAACUUUUAACAAUGGAUCUCUUGGUUCUCGCAACGAUGAAGAACGCAGCGAAAUGCGAUAAGUAAUGUGAAUUGCAGAAUUCCGUGAAUCAUCGAAUCUUUGAACGCAUAUUGCGCUUUCGGGUAUUCCCGAGAGCACGUCUGUCUGAGUAUCAUUAUCCCAUCUCGACAUAAGAGAUCUUGUAAAAGAUAUUUCUCCAUUGUCGGACUUGAAGGUUUUCUCGAUUUCCAUUAAAAACGAAGUCGCGUCCUUUAAAAUACAGUUUAACAUUUUUAUCAUUCAGUAAGAAGUGGAUCUCGAUUCUUCUUCCCCUGUUUUCGGCGCGAUAAGGAAGCCAGUAAGCCUCCCCAUCAAACGUCGAAAUACAUUAAAGGAGUUUUUUUGAGUUGAACCAAUUUUUCAUCUGAUUGGCAAAAAAUAAAUGAUGCAAAAGUCUAGGGAGUUGGACAUCCUCGGAUGAAAGGCCCCCUUUACUUUCUUAGAUAUGAUCUCAGAUCAGACGAGGCUACCCGCUGAACUUAAGCAUAUCACUAAGCGGAGGAAAAGAAACUAACCAGGAUUCCCCUAGUAACGGCGAGUGAAGCGGGAACAGCUCAAAUUUGAAAUCUGGGAGCAAUCCCCGAAUUGUAGUUUAUAGAGGUGCUUUCGGCGAUGACCCCGGUACAAGUCUCUUGGAAAAGGGCAUCAUAGAGGGUGAGAAUCCCGUCUGUGACCGGGUGAUCGUUGCUAUGUGAGGCGCUUUCAACGAGUCGGGUUGUUUGGGACUACAGCCCAAAAUGGGUGGUAAAUUUCAUCUAAAGCUAAAUAUAGGCGAGAGACCGAUAGCGAACAAGUACCGUGAGGGAAAGAUGAAAAGAACUUUGAAAAGAGAGUGCAAUAGUACGUGAAAUUGUUAAAAGGGAACCGCUUGGAACCAGUGGUGCACGCCGUCAAUUCAGUUCUCCACUCGUGGAGGAUGCACUUUGACGGUGUGCUGGUCAGCAUCAUUUUUGUUCGCCGGAUAAGGUCAUCAGGGAGGUGAAGAUCUUCGGGUCUUGUUAUACCCUGGUGAACAUACGGUGGACGGGAAUGAGGCGUCGCAGCGCGUGCCUGGCUGGGCCGCCUGUCUCUGGGUGUGCCUUGAUGGCGGACUACUUGUAGACCGUUGUCAAGCGUGUGCUCACAGAUGGGGUCGGUCACACUCCGCGCUCCGGAUGCUGACGAAAUGGUUUCAAUCGACCCGUCUUGAAACACGGACCAAGGAGUCUAACAUGUAUGCGAGUGUUUGGGUGGCAAACCCGUACGCGUAAUGAAAGUGAACGUAGGUGGGAUCCCGCAAGGGUGCACCAUCGACCGAUCUGGAUAUUUUUUGAUAGAUUUGAGUAAGAGCAUACAUGCUGGGACCCGAAAGAUGGUGAACUAUGCCUGAAUAGGGUGAAGCCAGAGGAAACUCUGGUGGAGGCUCGUAGCGAUACUGACGUGCAAAUCGUUCGUCGAAUUUGGGUAUAGGGGCGAAAGACUAAUCGAACCAUCUAGUAGCUGGUUCCCUC